GACCCGGCCGGUGCCACGGCCGUAGGGGGCCGGCGCGGGGGGNCCGGCGCGGGGGGGGGUGCCGCCGGGUCCCCGGGGGCCGGUGGAGGUGGAGGGGCACCCCGACGUCACGGUCACGGCUACGACGCCCGUCCCCCACGGCUUCCCCGCCUGCUCGCCCCGAACUCCGGAGCAGACGUCGCGGCUUCCUUUCGCGUCCCCGCGGGACCCCCGCGGCGCCGGAGGCGGCAGCAUCCGGGCCUUCCCGGGGCCGGCGCGCCGAGCCCGGCCCCAGCGCCCGCGCGGUUGACCGUGAACGCCCCCCGAGUCGGGGCGCGGCCCCCGGGCGGCCGAGAGCUCCGCCUCGUCUCAGGGGCCCGCUGCGCUUCCCGCCUCCUCCUUCUUUGGUCGCCGGCACCCCUGCGUCCCGGUGCUCCGGGCACAGAGUCGCAGGAGCUGAGAGCUGCGGCCUAAGGUGGCGUCAGACUCCUCCUAGUCAGGGCCUCGGCCGGCCGGCCCGCCCGGGAACCCCCCCGGCCCCAACCCGGCGUGCUGGACAGGACCUUUCCCCCCAGGAGAGAAUGCAGAUAAGGAACUGGAGAGGGCUGAGAUGUUAA
This 596-nucleotide long non-coding RNA is filed under the name Sus scrofa (pig). RNAcentral's name for it is "lncRNA (ENSSSCG00025074382.1)". The record is from RNAcentral. Lineage: Eukaryota; Metazoa; Chordata; Mammalia; Artiodactyla; Suidae.